CAAAUAUUUCCUACCCAAUAACAAGCAGACGCUUAUCACCAUAUCUAGUGACAAAGACAUCCAGCGCAUGAUUGAUUUCCAUGAAGAUUCUAAAACUGUUGAUUUAUUUGUCAUGACAAACNNNNNNNNNNAGGCCUCAGUUACGCCUUGUAGUAGGUCCAGUGGCAAUGCAAUAAUUGAACCUGUCACCCCUCUCAAUGUUGCUCCUGUUGCUUCUAUUGCUGGGGAUACCGAGCA
RNAcentral lists this unclassified non-coding RNA (237 nucleotides) under Hevea brasiliensis (rubber tree). The record is from RNAcentral. Lineage: Eukaryota; Viridiplantae; Streptophyta; Magnoliopsida; Malpighiales; Euphorbiaceae.